GGGUGUAUAGCUCAGUUGGUUAGAGCGCAUCGCUGAUAACGAUGAGGUCCCAAGUUCGAAUCUUGGUACACCCAC
RNAcentral lists this transfer RNA (75 nucleotides) under Rosistilla ulvae. RNAcentral's name for it is "Planctomycetes bacterium EC9 tRNA-Ile". It matches the Rfam family "tRNA". Rfam says of the family: Transfer RNA (tRNA) molecules are approximately 80 nucleotides in length. Their secondary structure includes four short double-helical elements and three loops (D, anti-codon, and T loops). Further hydrogen bonds mediate the characteristic L-shaped molecular structure. tRNAs have two regions of fundamental functional importance: the anti-codon, which is responsible for specific mRNA codon recognition, and the 3' end, to which the tRNAs corresponding amino acid is attached (by aminoacyl-tRNA synthetases). tRNAs cope with the degeneracy of the genetic code in two manners: having more than one tRNA (with a specific anti-codon) for a particular amino acid; and 'wobble' base-pairing, i.e. permitting non-standard base-pairing at the 3rd anti-codon position. RNAcentral also lists the same sequence under 2 other names. The record is from RNAcentral. Lineage: Bacteria; Pseudomonadati; Planctomycetota; Planctomycetia; Pirellulales; Pirellulaceae.